AGCCAAACCUGAAACCACAUGAUUUAAGAGCAAUAGUAGUCACACAAUAAUUUCCUUACAAUAAGGUCUGUGUUCCUUUGCAAUCAACAUAAACUUGCAUCAAUUAGAAAGUGUAGCAUGACCAACAUCUGUGGUUGUAUGUUAAAACACUUGUAUAGAAACAGCAAAUUUUAGUGCCGGCUGAGAAGUCACCAGAUUCUCCCUCCAUUGGCAAAUCAUCUUACCAGCAAAACUUCUUUUUCUGGUACUUGGCUUCUUCUUGACUGUCUAUGUAAGCAAGCAAUUCUUCUUGCUUCAUUAAAGCUUCAUGUAAAGCCUUU
RNAcentral lists this unclassified non-coding RNA (320 nucleotides) under Hevea brasiliensis (rubber tree). The record is from RNAcentral. Lineage: Eukaryota; Viridiplantae; Streptophyta; Magnoliopsida; Malpighiales; Euphorbiaceae.